GUUAGCAUGCUGCCUGCUGGAUAAUAAAUGACUUCAUCUGCUGCAGCAGUGAGGAUACUAUUAAAAAUUAACCCUGGGAAAUGGUCCCGCAUAUUUUUUUCAUUCAGACCCAGACAAGGGGGAAGAGGAGAGGAAUGCUGUUGAAAUGGGAUUUGCAGAAAAGACAAGUGGUGCAGUAACAGAAAAAUAAAUUCAAUUUGCAGACUCCUGUCAUCCUCCGGAUCUUUGGAUCAGUCUCUCAGCCUCAUUCAUUGCUUCUGAGGAUAAACUUCUAAACACCUGCUGUGGCCGAAACUGUUCUUACGUCAUCUCCUGAAUACAGUGACUUCAAUCACAUGAAAUCAUGAGGUUAAUGCCACAGUCGAGACUUCAAAGCUGUUUCUGCAGACCUGAGCUUAUUUUUUUGAAAAUGCUACAGUAGCUGCUAGUUCUUAACCAACAGAAGAAUUACCAAACUUGUCAGUGUUCUGCUUAUCAUGCAAUACAAGAAGAUGGGAAAAUUUUCUAGAAGAACUGCAGUGUGGGUGGGGGUGGCAGUACCGUAGGAUGAGUUCUCCACUUAAUCUCAGAUCAGUUUUGAUUUUUGUCUUUUUGUAUAAAAUGGAGAUGAAUAUCCUCAUUCUGUAUUACCUACUUGAACCAGAUGACCUUUAAAAGGUGCCUUCCAACUCAAACUAUUCCGUGAUUUUAUGAAAUUGUUAGUUGUGCUAGAAAAGGGAUUCUCACAAGAAAAAAGGUGAUUACAGGGCUUACUAAUAAGGAUAAGAGAUCAGGCUUCAAGGGGAACUAUCUUCAGAGAGACACUUUGAACAAUCUUUCAGAAGGGGGGAGACACUGAUACGUAUCUAAAUGAGUCUGAUGGGUUAUGUGCAAUAGCAGAAAACUUUCCUCUGACCAGAAAGUCCCCUCUGGUUCUGUGUUUCUGAGUUGUAGGACAAUGAAAUUCUUAAAUCUUAAUUAUGAAAGUAGCGACAGCAAUUAUGUAUUGAUCAAUAAUAGUAAUUAUAGACUGGAUUGAUUGGAUGUUGCUUGUGACUGAAUAAAACCAGAAGAACAGACAAA
Motacilla alba alba is the source of this 1062-nucleotide long non-coding RNA. RefSeq lists it as uncharacterized. NCBI's taxonomy places the organism in Eukaryota, Metazoa, Chordata, Aves, Passeriformes, Motacillidae. The record is from RefSeq and is a predicted model, not a curated record. The transcript is spliced from 2 exons.